GAGAGUGGGUAGUCCGCACGAGCGCACCCUAUCACUAGUUGCCAGCACGUAAUGGUGGGGACUUUAGUGAGACUGCCGGUGAUAAACCGGAGGAAGGUGGGGACGACGUCAAGUCAUCAUGGCCCUUAUGGGCAGGGCUACACACGUGCUACAAUGGCUAAUACAAAGGGGCGCCAACCCGCGAGGGGGAGCAAAUCCAAUAAAAUUAGUCUCAGUCCGGAUCGAAGUCUGCAACUCGACUUCGUGAAGUUGGAAUCGCUAGUAAUCGCGUAUCAGCAAUGGCGCGGUGAAUACGUUCCCGGGUCUUGUACACACCGCCCGUCACACCAUGGAAGUUGGUUGCACCAGAAGUGAAUAGUUUGACCCUUUGGGGAGGGCGUUCACCACGGUGUGGUCAAUGACUAGGGUGAAGUCGUAACAAGGUAGCCGUACGGGAACGUGCGGCUGGAUCACCUCCUUUUU
This 462-nucleotide ribosomal RNA is filed under the name uncultured Gammaproteobacteria bacterium. RNAcentral's name for it is "bacterial SSU rRNA". It matches the Rfam family "Bacterial small subunit ribosomal RNA", at positions 1072 to 1533 of the family's 1533-position model. The record is from RNAcentral. Lineage: Bacteria; Pseudomonadati; Pseudomonadota; Gammaproteobacteria.